This 432-nucleotide ribosomal RNA is filed under the name uncultured bacterium. RNAcentral describes it as "partial 16S ribosomal RNA". It matches the Rfam family "Bacterial small subunit ribosomal RNA", at positions 29 to 507 of the family's 1533-position model. The record is from RNAcentral.
AACGAACGCUGGCGGCAUGCCUAACACAUGCAAGUCGAACGAGACCUUCGGGUCUAGUGGCGCACGGGUGCGUAACGCGUGGGAACCUGCCCUUAGGUUCGGAAUAACUCCCCGAAAGGGGUGCUAAUACCGGAUAAUGUCUUCGGACCAAAGAUUUAUCGCCUUUGGAUGGGCCCGCGUUGGAUUUGCUAGUUGGUAGGGUAAAAGCCUACCAAGGCGACGAUCCAUAGCUGGUCUGAGAGGAUGAUCAGCCACACUGGGACUGAGACACGGCCCAGACUCCUACGGGAGGCAGCAGUGGGGAAUAUUGGACAAUGGGCGAAAGCCUGAUCCAGCAAUGCCGCGUGAGUGAUGAAGGCCUUAGGGUUGUAAAGCUCUUUUACCCGGGAUGAUAAUGACAGUACCGGGAGAAUAGCUCCGGCUAACUCCGUG